GAUGAAGAACGUAGCGAAAUGCGAUAAGUAAUGUGAAUUGCAGAAUUCAGUGAAUCAUCGAAUCUUUGAACGCAUCUUGCGCUCCUUGGUAUUCUGAGGAGCAUGCCUGUUUGAGUGUCAUUAAAUUCUCAACUACACUGACUUUGAAUUGAUGUGGCUUGGAUUUGGGGGGAAAAUUGUUGUGGGCUUUUUGUAUAGUCUGCUCCCCUGAAAUUGAUUAGCGGUACCUUUGUGGAACUGUCUACAGGUGUGAUAAUUAUCUACAUCUUAGACAUCUGCUGGAAUGCUGCUUUCUAAACCUUACUUGUAUUGACAAUCUUGACCUCAAAUCAGGUAGGACUACCCGCUGAACUUAAGCAUAUCAAUAAGCGGAGGA
This 376-nucleotide unclassified non-coding RNA is filed under the name soil metagenome. RNAcentral describes it as "partial contains 5.8S ribosomal RNA, internal transcribed spacer 2, and large subunit ribosomal RNA". The stretch from base 1 to 120 matches the Rfam family "5.8S ribosomal RNA", at positions 35 to 154 of the family's 154-position model. The record is from RNAcentral.